GGUGGCUCAGUGGUAGAGCGCUUGCCUCGCAUGCAUGAAGCCCUGGUUCGAUUCCUCAUGCACCA
Molecule: transfer RNA, 65 nt
Filed under: Dipodomys ordii (Ord's kangaroo rat)
Lineage: Eukaryota; Metazoa; Chordata; Mammalia; Rodentia; Heteromyidae
Rfam family: tRNA
About the family: Transfer RNA (tRNA) molecules are approximately 80 nucleotides in length.
Source: Rfam by way of RNAcentral